RNAcentral lists this ribosomal RNA (314 nucleotides) under uncultured bacterium. RNAcentral describes it as "bacterial SSU rRNA". It matches the Rfam family "Bacterial small subunit ribosomal RNA", at positions 28 to 334 of the family's 1533-position model. The record is from RNAcentral.
GACGAACGCUAGCUACAGGCUUAACACAUGCAAGUCGAGGGGCAGCAUGAACUUAGCUUGCUAAGUUUGAUGGCGACCGGCGCACGGGUGAGUAACACGUAUCCAACCUGCCGAUGACUCGGGGAUAGCCUUUCGAAAGAAAGAUUAAUACCCGAUGGCAUAGUUCUUCCGCAUGGUAGAACUAUUAAAGAAUUUCGGUCAUCGAUGGGGAUGCGUUCCAUUAGAUAGUUGGUGAGGUAACGGCUCACCAAGUCCACGAUGGAUAGGGGUUCUGAGAGGAAGGUCCCCCACACUGGUACUGAGACACGGACCAG